This 427-nucleotide ribosomal RNA is filed under the name uncultured bacterium. RNAcentral describes it as "partial 16S ribosomal RNA". It matches the Rfam family "Bacterial small subunit ribosomal RNA", at positions 355 to 774 of the family's 1533-position model. The record is from RNAcentral.
UGGGGAAUAUUGCACAAUGGGCGCAAGCCUGAUGCAGCCAUGCCGCGUGUAUGAAGAAGGCCUUCGGGUUGUAAAGUACUUUCAGCGGGGAGGAAGGCGAUAAGGUUAAUAACCUUGUCGAUUGACGUUACCCGCAGAAGAAGCACCGGCUAACUCCGUGCCAGCAGCCGCGGUAAUACGGAGGGUGCAAGCGUUAAUCGGAAUUACUGGGCGUAAAGCGCACGCAGGCGGUCUGUCAAGUCGGAUGUGAAAUCCCCGGGCUCAACCUGGGAACUGCAUUCGAAACUGGCAGGCUAGAGUCUUGUAGAGGGGGGUAGAAUUCCAGGUGUAGCGGUGAAAUGCGUAGAGAUCUGGAGGAAUACCGGUUGCGAAGUCGGCCCCCUGGACAAAGACUGACGCUCAGGUGCGAAAGCGUGGGGAGCAAACA